GGUAAAUAACAAAAGCAAGAUUGAAAGCAAACAUCUGCCCAAAGUCACUGCAAAGAAAGAAUUCAGGGUUUCUCCAGCCUAGCACUGUUCACCAAAAGAGACAGUGGUAAUGAGAAGUCCUCUAGGUGGGCAGAACUUGAAGUAAUACACUUAAUCCUCUAAUUUGGAUGGAAAUAAGCAUGCAAAUGUGGGCAAUGACAAAUGGCUUGCAAGGUAACACGAAGGCCUAGAAAGGAGAUUAGAAGGUUGAGGACAAGGAGAUCUACUUCAAUGACGUCAUCAGAAACAGCCCAGAUCCAGGAAGCUAUGAGAAUGCCCUCUGAUGUCUACAGAUGUCAAGAACCUGAACCAGCCCACCAACAACAAUGAAAAGUCAGCAGUUUGCAACCUGGAAGAGGGUCCUCACCAGAACCUGACCAGGCUGGCACACUCAUCUCAGACUUCCAGCCUCCAGAGGAGUACUUGAGUGAGAGCAUAGUUCGGGUACAGUUUGGUUGCCACUACUUAAACAGAUGAGAUGUAAAAUUCCAUUUUAUACUUGGACAAGAAGACAGAACAAAGGAACCCCUGCCUUGACAGACUUCUCAGAUGAGGCAUUGACAUCUUGAGCCUCUGCUAUGAGGAAACUGCCAUUGUAACCUUCAUCUGUUUGGUCUAAAAACACUGUGGCACAGAGCAGACAAAGAUUGACAGGAUCAACAAACCCAAUUCUUCAAAGAAGGAAACCAAUUCUUCAGUACCAUCUAAGAACUUCUCCAAUUUCCCAGAAGGAGGUAGGGGAAGGGAAUUAAGUAAGUCCCCUAUCACAAUGACUAGGGAUAGGAAAAGAUGGUGGGAAGAAAGAACC
Long non-coding RNA from Gorilla gorilla gorilla (western lowland gorilla), 847 nucleotides. RefSeq lists it as uncharacterized. NCBI's taxonomy places the organism in Eukaryota, Metazoa, Chordata, Mammalia, Primates, Hominidae. The transcript has 5 exons. The record is from RefSeq and is a predicted model, not a curated record.